CCUGAACGCUGGCGGCGUGGCUAAGACAUGCAAGUCGCACGGAGGUAGCAAUACCUCAGUGGCGAACGGGUGAGUAAUGAAUCGCUAAUGUGCCCCGGACUCUGAGAUAGCUGCCCGAAAGGGCAGGUAAUAUCAGAUGAUAUAACCAAACCGCAUGGUUUGGUUCUCAAAGGUCCGCCGGUCUGGGAGCAGGCGAUUUCGUAUCAGCUUGUUGGUGAGGUAACGGCUCACCAAGGCGACGACGCGUAGCCGGACUGAGAGGUUGGCCGGCCACAUUGGGACUGAGACACUGCCAGACUCCUACGGGGGCUGCAGUAACGAAUCUUCCGCAAUGCACGCAAGUGUGACGGAGCGACGCCGCGUGUAGGACGAAGCCCUUC
This 380-nucleotide ribosomal RNA is filed under the name uncultured bacterium. RNAcentral describes it as "bacterial SSU rRNA". It matches the Rfam family "Bacterial small subunit ribosomal RNA", at positions 30 to 419 of the family's 1533-position model. The record is from RNAcentral.